Molecule: long non-coding RNA, 1349 nt
Filed under: Homo sapiens (human)
Lineage: Eukaryota; Metazoa; Chordata; Mammalia; Primates; Hominidae
Description: HSALNT0336565
Source: RNAcentral
GAAAAAAUCAGAGGUCUGAGUAAAUCUCACAGUGCUCAUUUUUAAAAGGGUACACAAAAAAAUCUCAAUUCCAAAGAAUUUGGAUCAGCCAAGAGAAGGCAUGGGAAAAUAUCAAAUGUUUGUAUGAUUACCUGGGCAACCUUUUCUGUGCUAUGUAAAUGUGUAAUGACUAAUCAACCAGGACGGCCAAGGGAUUUGUUUCUAGAGAUAGGCAAUUUUCAUUUGUGCCUGUGAUUGGCUCAGCUCUGCGUGUGAAGAGGGAAAAGGCUUCCGUUUAUUUAGCAUAAUGAUGGACCAAAACAAAAGAAGAAAUCAUUUCACUCAUGCUUAGCAGUGUAAAGUACUCCUUUCAAAGCAGUACCACGUUACAAAAUCUGCAAAUCCCAGAAGUCAAUAACCUGAAGACAUGCCAGGAGCAGUGAAGAAAACAAGUGUCAUGAGAGAUGAGGCAAUAAAGACAGCAAGCUGAGGAGGAGGCUGUUUUCAAGCCACUUAUCAGAAUACACAGUAGGUACCCUUUUUCCCCUGGUACCCAAUGUCACCACCUCAAAGGGGUGAUUUUUUUAAUCGAUGGCCUAAAGAAUUCUUUUCAAAUGACAUGAGUUGCUUUGAGGAGAGGUGGAAUGAGAUAGGCUCAAAUACAAAGAAGAAUCUUGCCAAAGUCCAAAGUCAGAAAAGAACCCACUGUGAAAGAGGAACCCACAAGAGUCAACAUCUUGCUACUUCAACUAAUUGCGCCCAUUGGAAGGCAAUGGAAGAUGGACUGGAAGUUCACACACACAAAAAAAUAGAAAAACCUGUCUGGGCAUGGUGGCUCUCACCUUUAAUCUCAGUGCUUUGGGAAGUUGAGCCAGAAGGAUCACUUGAAGCCAGGAGUUCAAGUCCAGCCUGGGCAACAUAGCAAGACCCUGUCUCUAUAAAAAUAAAAAUAAUUAGCCAGGUGUGGUGGUGUGCACUUGUAGUCCUAGCUACACAGGAGGCUGAGGUGGGAGGAUCACUUGAGCCCAAGUGUUCGAGGCUGCAGUGAGCUAUGAUCACACCAUUGCACUGUAGCCUGGGCAACAGAGUACCUACCUCUAAAAUAAAUAAAUAAUGAAAGAAAAUAAAAGCCUAUAUUAUUUCUCAUCUAGAUAUUAUAAUAUCCUCUCUGAGAGACCACCCAAAGAGUGCCAUGAAAGGUAGAGCUAAAUUCUGUCUCUGGCCACUGGAUUUUCAAGCCAGGAGCAAGGGAUUGGAUAACUACAACUUGCUUAUAGUUCUUCCCCCAGGAACUUAAUAAAAAGUGUAAAAAAAGAACACCUAACAGGAACUCACCAAUGCCUCUCACUAGGAUCUUUCCUGACUUCAGC